GUGUCAGCAGCCGCGGUAAUACAGAGGUCCCAAGCGUUGUUCGGAUUCACUGGGCGUAAAGGGUGCGUAGGUGGCCAGGUAAGUUCGGUGUGAAAGCUCGGAGCUUAACUCCGAAAUGGCAUUGAAUACUAUCUGGCUAGAGGGUCGGAGGGGAGACUGGAAUUCUCGGUGUAGCAGUGAAAUGCGUAGAUAUCGAGAGGAACACCAGUGGCGAAGGCGAGUCUCUGGACGACUCCUGACACUGAGGCACGAAAGCCAGGGGAGCAAACAGGAUUAGAUACCCCUGUAGUCC
This 292-nucleotide ribosomal RNA is filed under the name uncultured bacterium. Its description in RNAcentral is "partial 16S ribosomal RNA". It matches the Rfam family "Bacterial small subunit ribosomal RNA", at positions 505 to 796 of the family's 1533-position model. The record is from RNAcentral.